Molecule: long non-coding RNA, 5937 nt
Organism: Homo sapiens (human)
Lineage: Eukaryota; Metazoa; Chordata; Mammalia; Primates; Hominidae
Source: Ensembl
UUCCAGUCCAGUGGGCUCCACACCUGUCGUCUGCAUCAGGAGGCUCAUGUCUGACCCUGUCUUCCUGCCAGUCCUGAGGACGGAGCCUGAGCCUCCAUCGUGCACCACGCAGGGAGGACAGCGGACCUGCUCUCCAUGAUCAUGGCCCAGCAGAGGGGAAGCGCAGCUCAAUACACAGAGCCAGAGAAUCUCACAGGUGUCUUAGAAUUCCUGCUCCUGGGACUCCCAGAUGAUCCAGAACUGCAGCCCGUCCUCUUUGGGCUGUUCCUGUCCAUGUACCUGGUCAUGGUGCUGGGGAACCUGCUCAUCAUUCUGGCCGUCAGCUCUGACUCCCAUCUCCACAGCCCCAUGUACUUCUUCCUCUCCAACCUGUCCUUGGCUGACAUCGGUUUUGCCUCUACUACUGUCCCCAAGAUGAUUGUGGACAUCCAGGCUCAUAGUAGACUCAUCUCUUACGUGGGCUGCCUGACUCAGAUGUCUUUUUUGAUCUUUUUCGCAUGUAUGGAAAGUCUGCUCCUGAUUGUGAUGGCCUAUGACCGGUUCGUGGCCAUCUGUCACCCCCUGCACUACCAAGUCAUCAUGAGCCCACGACUCUGUGGCUUCUUAGUUUUGGUGUCUUUUUUUCUUAGCCUUUUGGACUCUCAGCUGCACAAUUUGAUUGUGUUACAACUUACCUGCUUCAACGAUGUGGAAAUCUCUAAUUUUUUUCUGUGACCCUUCUUAACUUCUCAAGCUGGCCUGUUCUGACACCUCCAUUAAUAACAUGGUUGUAUAUUUUAUUGGUGCCAUAUUUGGUUUUCUCCCUCUCUUAGGGAUCCUUUUCUCUUACUAUAAAAUUGUUUCCUCCAUUCUGAGAGUUCUCUCUUCAGGUGGGAAGUAUAAAGCCUUCUCCACCUGCAGCUCUCACCUGUCAGUUGUUUGCUUACUUUAUGGAACAGCCCUUGGAGGGUACCUCAGUUCAGCUGUGUCCCUUUCCUCCAGGAAGGGUGCAGUGGCCUCAGUAAUGUACAUGGUGGUCACCCCCAUGCUGAACCCCUUCAUCUACAGCCUGAGAAACAGGGACAUUCAAAGUGCCCUGCAGAGGCUGCACGGCAGAAUAAUGUAAUCUCCUUAUCUGUUGCAUCUUUUUUGUAGUAUUGGUUGGAAAAGGCAGAGCUUUGAUACAAAAUAUCAAGACCUUUAAAUCCUUCCCCCUUGGUUACAUUAUAUUUAUUGCUUGAUAGGUUCAAUUCCUCUCCAUGUUUCAUAUGUGAAUGUGGGCGGCAAGCCACCAGGGGCCGAGGCAAGAGACCGAGGGCACGAGCUGUUCCAGCAUAAUAAAGAAAAUAUAUAAAAUAAGAAUAGUUAUACUAGAUAUAGAUCAUAGAUAUGAUUAUAUAUGAACAUCAUUAAUCAUUAGUUUGUAGCAAUUACUCUUUAGUCCAAUAUUAAUCUUCACUCUACAAUCAUAACCUAGGAAAAACCAGGCCAUACAGAGAUAGGAGCUAAAGGGACAUGGUGAGAACUGACCAGAAGACAAGUGUGAGCCCUCUGUUAUGCCCGGACAGGGCCACUAGAGGGCUCCAUGGUCUAGCGGUAACGCCAGUGCCUGGGAAGGAGCCCCGUUACCUUGCGGAUCUUGGUCUAGCAGUAGGGUCAGUGCCUAGAAAAAGCACUCCUUACUCAGCUGACCGGGAAAAGGAGUCUCUCUUUUCCCGGGGGAGUUUAGAGAAGACUCUACUCCUCCACCUCUUGUGGAGGGUCUGACAUCAGUCAGGCCUGCCUGCAGUUAUGCGGAGGCCUGUUUCCCUGUGAUGCUGUGCUUCAGCGGUCACGCUCCUGUUUCACUUUUAUGUUCCACCCUGUACAACUGGCUCUGCCUUCUAGACAGCAGUAGCAGAAUUAGUGAAAGUACUAAAAGUCUCCGAAAUGCAGAAAUAAUGGUGUAAGCUGUCCUCUCUCUCUCCGCCUCGGCUGCCAAACAGGGAAGGGCCCCCUGUCCAGUGGACACGUGACUUGUGUGACCUUACCUAUCAUUGGAGAUGGCUCACACUCCUUACCCUGCCCCCUUGUCUUGUAUCCGAAAAAUAACAGUGCAGCCAGGCAUUUGGGCCACUACCGGUCUCCGCGCCUUGGUGGUGGUGGUCCCCCCGGGCCCAGCUGUCUUUUCUUCUCUUUGUCUUGUGUCUUUAUUUCUACAAUCUCUUGUCUCCACACACGGGGAGAAAGACCCACAGACCCUGUAGGGCUGGUCCCUACAUGUGAAUAUUGUUUCCAUUGUUUUGUCUUUAAUUGGAAUGUGAAGGUAUUCUGGAAUUCUUUGUUUAUUGCAAAAAUUCGUGGCUGAAUCCAGUAUACCUGGACAGCCUCCUUUAGUUUCCGAGCAAUGACCCUGGUAUCUAGGUGAAAUCACAACCCUGUUUUUAUAUAUAAGAAGUCCUUGCUUAAAGUCAAUAGCAUCUUGGAAACUGCAACCUUAAGGAAAUGAUAUACAGCAGGUCCUCAAGUAAAAUUGUUUUGUUCAAAGUCCAUUAGUUAUAUUGUUGAUAAGGAAAAACACACGGUUUCAUUAUAAAUCAUUUCACUUAAAUCACAGUUUCCAAAAACAUAUUGAGGGUGUUAAUUGAGGACUUACUGUAUUUCAAAUUUAAGUUAAUUUUCACAGUUCGUGUGGAAAUUAUUUACAUAUUACAUCUGUAAAAUCACUUUAAGCAGGCUAUGUGUGACGAACUUGUUCACGAGCCCUCAACCUUGGCUUUUAUUGACCUCACCUGGGGAGCUUACAAAUGAUGAUGGCUGGGCUCUCUUACCCAGAGAUUUUGAUUUACUUGAACCUGUGUGGGUCUGAGAGGUUUUAAAAGCACCAGUGAUAGUUCAGACGAUGAAGUUCUUCAAGGGAUCAAGCUCAAAUGGGUAAGCUACUAAAGAGCUGAUUGCAGCACUAGACAAUGUAAUUUUCUUCAACUGUCUUCUUCAAAUUCAUUAUCCUUCAGCAAUAUACAGAUUGUCAUUAUGCUGGGAAUUUUUAGUAAGCACUUGGAAUUUGUUGAAAAUGUUGAUUUAUAUACGUAUAGAUUUUCUUCGGAUUUCACUCUUGUGCGUACUGAAAGGGAAAAUAGAAAAGGAUAACAUGGUAACAACAUCCCUAAAACUUCACAUGCUAUAACUGAUUUUUAAAAAUUUGUUUAGUUUUCUUUCUUUUUUUAUGAAGUGUGGGGUAGGUACACAAAGUUAUACUAUUCAGCCUUUAAGAAAUGAAAGUGAGUCAUUUGCAGCAACAUGGAUUUAAGUGAAAUAAGCCAGGCAUGAAAAGACAAAUAUGGCAUGUUCCCACUCAUACCUAUGAGCUAAAACAGUGAAUCUUGUGAAGGUACAAGGUAGAAUGGUAAUUACUAGAGGCUGGUAAGGGAAGGAAGGAGUGGAGCAUGAAAAGAUGUUUACAGGGUACAAAAAUGCAGUUAGAUAGAAGAAAUAAGUUCCAGCGUUUCCUAAUACAGUAGGGGAAUUCUAGUUAGUGGUAAUUGAUUGCAUAUUUCAAAGUAGCUAGGAGAGAAGAUUUGUAUUGUUCUCAUUAUUCUGGUUUCUAAGCCAUUGUCUUUCUGUUCCCUUCCCGCCUUUCUCUACUCAGCUCUUUCAUGCUAGGUUGGGGCUCUUGAAGUUAUUGCUCUGUUUUCCAUCUGGUGUUCUUGUUACAGACUUUCAUGAACACUGAAUUUUACUACACUGAAAUUCGGUAUACUUUGCGACCACCUUCUAGUAUACCCCUAUGCCUGCCUCAGUGUUUAGAGGCUGCUGCCUUCAGUUACUGUCUCUGUUACCACAUUGUGUCCUUUAGCCUUUGUCCUGCAGUAACAAUCAAGCCAACUCCCUCUGUUCAAUUCUCUUCAUAAUAAGUAGAUUAGUUAUUCAAAAUAACUAGAUUAGUUUCUAUUUUUUUUUUUUUUUGAGAUGGAGUCUCCCUCUGUCACCCAGGCUGGAGUGCGGUGGCAUGAUCCCGACUCACUGCAACCUCCACCUCCCAGGUUCAAGCAAUUCUCCUGACUCAGCCUCCCGCGUAGCUAGGAUUACAAGGACCGCCCACCACGCCUAGCUAAUUUUUGUAAUUUUAGUGGAGACGGGGUUUUGCCAUGUUGGCCAGGCUCGUCUGGAACUUCCGACCUCAGGUGAUCCACCUGCCUCGGCCUCCCAAAGUGCUGGGAUUACAGGCAUGAGCCGCGUGCCCAGCCCUGGUUUCUAUUCCUGACCUAACCUUGACUGAGGAACAAAAGUAUGUUGGAGUUGUCUGCAAGGGGAAUAUUUUAAAAAUGUGCUGAUGAAAUAAAGCUGCUUUUAAAACAUAUGUCUUUGUGAAGAGAGUCCAACUGAAGUUUAAGUGGCAGUGCCCUAUUUCCGGUUGCUGUGUGACUCUAGUGAUGUCUAGGGAUUGUUAAAUCACCAGUUUCAUCAUAAAUAAUUUCAGGGUUUUCUUCUUUUACUUUACACUGAGCUACCAAAAGUCCAUGUCACCAGCAAACAUGAACUCUCCUUUAUUUCACAUAAAUGAUAGUCAAAGAAUUUGAUAAGUGGGACAUUAAUGCUGCCUUUUUUUUUUUUUUUUUUUGAGACAGAGUCUUGCUCUGUUGCCCAGGCUGGAAUGCAAUGGCAUGAUCUUGGUUCACUGCAACCUCCGCCUCCUGGGCUCAAGUGAUUCUCCUGCCUCAGCCUCCCAAGUAGCUGGGACUACAGGCACACACCACCAUGCUCAGCUAAUUUUUGUAUUUUUAGUAGAGAUGGGGUUUUGCCAUGUUGUCCAGGCUGGUCUCGAACUCCUGACCUCAAGUGAGCCACCCACCUCGGCCUCCCAAAGUGCUAGGACUACAGGCGUGAGGCACUGUGCCUGGCCUAAUGCUGCUUUUUGAUGUCACAUGGUGGACUCUCCCCACUGGUAAUGCUUUGUUGUUGGCACUUUUAUUUUAAUAUUUAGAAGAGUGCUAUGAUGGAUUAAUACCUUGUGAUGGGAAAUGUUUGGAUUGUUUGGAUGGUUCACAGUAGCCAACCAAAAGCGAUGUGACAAACUUCAAUCGGGAUAGAAUAUACAGAUGGUAGAAAAAAUGUGGGAUUUAUGGACCCUUCAUCACUCAUAUAUUGGGCUCUUAAACGUGGGACUUUUGAUAACUCAGAGGUCCUUUCUGAACCCCAUGUUCCUCAGCAGCAAAUUAAUUGCAGUAGUCUUUUCUUCCAAGGCCAUGCAAUGAUUUUAUAUCAUGGUGCCAUUAACCAGUCAAAUGUUAGUUUCCCUUGAAAUGAUAGCCCCUAUUAUUACAUUGAGGAAGUUAAUUUUAGGGCCUGGCAUGGUGGCUCAUACCUGUAAUCCCAGCACUUUGGGAGGCUGAUUUGGCAGGAAAGUUUAAGGCAGGUGUUUGAGACCAGACUUGGCUACAUAGUGAGACCCUGUCACUACAUUUUUAAAAAAUUUAAAAGAAGUUAAUUUUAAAUGGGUAUUCUCAGAAUAUACAAGUAACUGGAUAUUACAAACUGUGACCUUGAGUAUAAAACAAAACAUUUCUUUUUUUUUUUUUUUUUAAAGACAGAGUCUCGCUCUGUUGCCCAGGCUGGAGUGCAGUGGCACAAUCUCAUCUCACUGCAACCUCUGCCUCCCGGGUUCAAGCAAUUCUCCUGCCUCAGCCUCUUGGGUAGCUGGGACUGCAGGUGUGUGCCACCAUGCCCAGCUAAUUUUUGCAUUUUUAUUAGAGACAGGGUUUCAUCAUAUUGGUCAGGCUAAUCUCGAACUCUUGACCUUGUGAUCCGCCUGCCUCAGUCUCCCAAAGUGCUGGGAUUACAGGCGUGAGCCACCACACCCAGGUAAAACAAAACAUAUUUCUAUUGAACAAGUUCAUCUGUAGAGAUGUGAUAACAACUAAGAGUCUGUUUGAGGAGACAUAUCAAAUGUACUGAUUAGAACACUAUUUUUGCUACUAC